This is a non-coding RNA of Ascosphaera acerosa, 89 nucleotides long. Lineage: Eukaryota; Fungi; Ascomycota; Eurotiomycetes; Onygenales; Ascosphaeraceae. The record is from the annotation of a GenBank genome assembly.
GGUCGGCUGGCCUAAUGGUAAGGCUUCCGUUUCCGGUUACUGGUUGACUAGACUACGGAAGAUUGCAGGUUCGAGUCCUGCGUCGAUCG